RNAcentral lists this long non-coding RNA (1011 nucleotides) under Brachypodium distachyon (stiff brome). Its description in RNAcentral is "long non-coding RNA (BDIS_LNC000626)". The record is from RNAcentral. Lineage: Eukaryota; Viridiplantae; Streptophyta; Magnoliopsida; Poales; Poaceae.
UUUGAAAAAAAUUGGGGGUGAAAGUUUUAUGAUUGCGUUGAAUUUUUUUUGUGCAACCUCAAAAUUUUCACAUGGAAUUUUAUAUGCAAUUUUCUUAGGCCGAAACUAUAACAACGAUAAAAUUUAAACAAAUUGCAAGUGAAAUUUAUGUACUAUUUUAAAAAUUGCAGGUGAAAUUUUAUGCGCGAUUCUAAAAAUUGCAGGCGAAAGUUUAUGCGCGGUUCUAAAAAUUGCAGGUAAAAGUUUAUGUGCGGUUCUAAAAAUUGCAGGUGAAAAUUUAUGCGCGGUUCUAAAAAUUGCAGGUAAAAGUUUAUGCGCGGUUUUAAAAUUUACAGGUCAAACUGUAUGUGCGGUUCUAAAAACUGUAGGUGAAAAUUUAUGCACGAUUAUAAAAUUUGCAGGUGAAAUGGGAGGGAUAUUUUAACAAAAAUAAAACAUUUUUAAAAAAUGAAAAGGAGUUCACAUUGUUGAUAUGUGAAUUACCCAUGAGGUGGACGCUCAAUUUUACUAAGUGUGUGAUAUCUACACGAAUACAUUGGGCUAGGCAUUGAUAUAAAAUACUUGCACAUUCGUAAAGCAAUAAGAAAUCACGGUCAGUUAGGAGUUAGGACAUAGCAAAGCAAUAAGAAAUCAUGGUCAGUGGGCAACCCGUACAAACAAAAAUCAGGACACAAGAAACAAAAAUAGAAAAAAGGAAGAAAAAGAAAAUGGAGAGCACAGAACUUGAACUUGCAACCUAGAGCCCAACAACACCGGCCACCAACCACCCAAACAACCUGCUGUCAAUAUAUAGAAUCAGUUGUCUUUUAUUUAACUUAAAUCGCCUUCAGAUUAACGCCAGCAUGAAUCUUAACACAUGAUCCAAUGGCCUAGACCAAUCGACUGAGUUCUAGCAAAUCCGUAAACAAAUACGCGACGUAUUAGACAUUUCUACCAAGUUUCCCCAAAAAUGGAGGAUCAAGUUUUUUUAUUUUGAUAGCAAGAUGGAGGAUCAAGGUGACUACGAGUAUG